Molecule: ribosomal RNA, 442 nt
Filed under: uncultured bacterium
Lineage: Bacteria
Description: partial 16S ribosomal RNA
Rfam family: Bacterial small subunit ribosomal RNA
Source: RNAcentral
CCUACGGGUGGCAGCAGUGGGGAAUAUUGGGCAAUGGGCGCAAGCCUGACCCAGCAACGCCGCGUGAAGGAAGAAGGCUUUCGGGUUGUAAACUUCUUUUGUCAGGGAAGAGUAGAAGACGGUACCUGACGAAUAAGCCACGGCUAACUACGUGCCAGCAGCCGCGGUAAUACGUAGGUGGCAAGCGUUGUCCGGAUUUACUGGGUGUAAAGGGAGGGUAGCCGGGUUGACAAGUCAGAUGUGAAAUCCAGGGGCUUAACCGCAGAACUGCAGUUGAAACUGUUGGUCUUGAGUACUGGGGAGGCAGACGGAAUUCCUAGUGUAGCGGUGAAAUGCGUAGAUAUUAGGAGGAACACCAGUGGCGAAGGCGGUCUGCUGGACAGCAACUGACGGUGAGGCGCGAAAGCGUGGGGAGCAAACAGGAUUAGAUACCCCAGUAGUC